CAAUAAUUUAGCACCAUAAAAAGUGGGAUCACGUGCUCGACAGUUACACCAGAAUAAUCUAUAAAAAGGAGAUAAGUGAGCAGUACGGGUAAGCGAGCUCGGAGUCAGAACUUUGGUACUUUCUAUAUUCAAAAAUUACUGUUCACCAACUUUCUUCUUUGACUUAAGUAUCGAAGGAUCUCUAUCGAAUAUCAAUUCGAUCCAUGUGGAUACUGUCUUAUAAAUUUUUAUUUUUGAUGAU
This 241-nucleotide long non-coding RNA is filed under the name Elaeis guineensis (African oil palm). Its description in RNAcentral is "long non-coding RNA (EGUI_LNC001489)". The record is from RNAcentral. Lineage: Eukaryota; Viridiplantae; Streptophyta; Magnoliopsida; Arecales; Arecaceae.